Piliocolobus tephrosceles (Ugandan red Colobus) is the source of this 145-nucleotide long non-coding RNA. RefSeq lists it as uncharacterized. The transcript is spliced from 3 exons. The record is from RefSeq and is a predicted model, not a curated record. NCBI's taxonomy places the organism in Eukaryota, Metazoa, Chordata, Mammalia, Primates, Cercopithecidae.
GAUUUCAAUAAUGAGAGGCUUAUAGCUAGCAAUAACAAAUCAACAUUAGAGCGGAAGUCAUACAUUUUAGACGCAUAUAAUCCAGAAAUUAAUGAUGAAGUGUUUAGUGUAAAGAUUAGAUUUGAUUUUGAAAAAACGAACAAGG